AUUGAACGCUGGCGGAAUGCUUUACACAUGCAAGUCGAACGGUAGAGGGGGCAACCCCUUGAGAGUGGCGAACGGGUGAGUAAUAUAUCGGAACGUGCCCAGUCGUGGGGAUAACGUAGCGAAAGUUACGCUAAUACCGCAUACGAUCUAAGGAUGAAAGCGGGGGAUCGCAAGACCUCGCGCGAUUGGAGCGGCCGAUAUCAGAUUAGGUAGUUGGUGAGGUAAAGGCUCACCAAGCCGACGAUCUGUAGCUGGUCUGAGAGGACGACCAGCCACACUGGGACUGAGACACGGCCCAGACUCCUACGGGAGGCAGCAGUGGGGAAUUUUGGACAAUGGGCGCAAGCCUGAUCCAGCAAUGCCGCGUGCAGGAUGAAGGCCU
Molecule: ribosomal RNA, 382 nt
Filed under: uncultured bacterium
Lineage: Bacteria
Description: bacterial SSU rRNA
Rfam family: Bacterial small subunit ribosomal RNA
Source: RNAcentral